CCUACGGGAGGCAGCAGUAAGGAAUAUUGGUCAAUGGACGCAAGUCUGAACCAGCCAUGCCGCGUGAAGGAUGAAGGCCCUCUGGGUUGUAAACUUCUUUUACAGGGGACGAAAAACGGGCAUUCUUGCUCACUUGACGGUACCCUGGGAAUAAGCACCGGCUAACUCCGUGCCAGCAGCCGCGGUAAUACGGAGGGUGCAAGCGUUAUCCGGAUUCACUGGGUUUAAAGGGUGCGUAGGUGGGUCUGUAAGUCAGUGGUGAAAUCUCCGAGCUUAACUCGGAAACUGCCAUUGAUACUAUAGGUCUUGAAUUUUCUGGAGGACAGCGGAAUAUGUCAUGUAGCGGUGAAAUGCUUAGAUAUGACAUAGAACACCGAUUGCGAAGGCAGCUGUCUACGGGGAUAUUGACACUGAGGCACGAAAGCGUGGGGAUCAAACAGGAUUAGAUACCCUGGUAGUCCACGCCCUAAACGAUGGAUACUCGACAUUUGUGAUACACAAUAAGUGUCUGAGCGAAAGCAUUAAGUAUCCCACCUGGAAGUACGACCGCAAGGUUGAAACUCAAAUGAAUUGACGG
This 577-nucleotide ribosomal RNA is filed under the name uncultured bacterium. Its description in RNAcentral is "bacterial SSU rRNA". It matches the Rfam family "Bacterial small subunit ribosomal RNA", at positions 338 to 916 of the family's 1533-position model. The record is from RNAcentral.